This 778-nucleotide ribosomal RNA is filed under the name uncultured cyanobacterium. RNAcentral's name for it is "bacterial SSU rRNA". It matches the Rfam family "Bacterial small subunit ribosomal RNA", at positions 8 to 796 of the family's 1533-position model. The record is from RNAcentral. Lineage: Bacteria; Bacillati; Cyanobacteriota.
AGAGUUUGAUCAUGGCUCAGGACGAACGCUGACGGUGUGCUUUAGGCAUGCAAGUCGAACGAGAAAGCCCUUCGGGGUGAGUAAAGUGGCGAACGGGUGAGUAACACGUGGGCAACCUGCCCCUCGCAGGGGGACAACCGGAGGAAACUCCGGCUAAUACCCCGUAAGCUCUAUACGCCGCAUGGCGAAUAGAGGAAAGGUAGCUUCGGCUAUCCGGCGAGGGAUGGGCCCGCGGUGCAUUAGCUAGUUGGUGGGGUAACGGCCCACCAAGGCGACGAUGCGUAGCUGGUCUGAGAGGAUGAUCAGCCACACUGGGACUGAGACACGGCCCAGACUCCUACGGGAGGCAGCAGUGAGGAAUUUUCCGCAAUGGGCGAAAGCCUGACGGAGCAAUACCGCGUGAGGGAGGAAGGUUCUUGGAUUGUAAACCUCUUUUCUCAGAGAAGAAUAAUGACGGUAUCUGAGGAAUAAGCAUCGGCUAACUCCGUGCCAGCAGCCGCGGUAAUACGGAGGAUGCAAGCGUUAUCCGGAAUGAUUGGGCGUAAAGGGUCUGUAGGUGGUUGUUCAAGUCUGCUGUUAAAGCGUCUGGCUUAACCAGAUAAAGGCGGUGGAAACUGAACGACUAGAGUGCGGUAGGGGUAGAGGGAAUUCCCAGUGUAGCGGUGAAAUGCGUAGAUAUUAGGAAGAACACCUGUGGCGAAAGCGCUCUACUGGACCGCGACUGACACUGAUGGACGAAAGCUAGGGGAGCGAAUGGGAUUAGAUACCCCCGUAGUCC